ACCUCAAAUCAGGUAGGACUACCCGCUGAACUUAAGCAUAUCAAUAAGCGGAGGAAAAGAAACUAACAAGGAUUCCCCUAGUAACUGCGAGUGAAGCGGGAAGAGCUCAAAUUUUGAAUCUGGCAG
This 126-nucleotide ribosomal RNA is filed under the name Butyriboletus persolidus. Its description in RNAcentral is "partial 28S ribosomal RNA". It matches the Rfam family "Eukaryotic large subunit ribosomal RNA", at positions 1 to 128 of the family's 3401-position model. Lineage: Eukaryota; Fungi; Basidiomycota; Agaricomycetes; Boletales; Boletaceae. The record is from RNAcentral.